GACGAACGCUGGCGGCAUGCUUAACACAUGCAAGUCGAACGGAAACGCCCUGCUUGUUUGCGCUGAUGGGGGGGCGAAGGGGUAAGGAACACGUGAGUAACGGAACCUUCACUUUGGGAUGAGUUCGGGAAAGUGGGGCUAAUACCGGAUAGGAUCUCCCGCUGGAGGGUGGGCGUGGGAAAGUUUCUGCGGUUGGGGAUGGACGCGCGGCUUAUGAGCUUGCUGGUUGGGUAGUGGCAUACCAAGGCAGUGGACGGUAGCCGGCCUGAGAGGGUGACCGGCCACAUUGGGCCUGAGAUACGGCCCAGACUCCUACAGGAGGCAACGGUGGCGAGUAUUAUACAGUGGGAGGGAGCCUGAUGCAACAACGCCGCGUGUGGGAAGACGGCCUUCUGGUAGUGAACCGCAUCCGCUUGUGACGAAGCGUGAGUGACGGUAAUGGGAGAAUAAGCACCGGCUAACUACGUG
Molecule: ribosomal RNA, 468 nt
Filed under: uncultured bacterium
Lineage: Bacteria
Description: partial 16S ribosomal RNA
Rfam family: Bacterial small subunit ribosomal RNA
Source: RNAcentral